RNAcentral lists this ribosomal RNA (205 nucleotides) under Pseudomonas aeruginosa. Its description in RNAcentral is "partial 16S ribosomal RNA". It matches the Rfam family "Bacterial small subunit ribosomal RNA", at positions 1 to 210 of the family's 1533-position model. Lineage: Bacteria; Pseudomonadati; Pseudomonadota; Gammaproteobacteria; Pseudomonadales; Pseudomonadaceae. The record is from RNAcentral.
AGCAGUAUUGAACUGAAGAGUUUGAUCAUGGCUCAGAUUGAACGCUGGCGGCAGGCCUAACACAUGCAAGUCGAGCGGAUGAAGGGAGCUUGCUCCUGGAUUCAGCGGCGGACGGGUGAGUAAUGCCUAGGAAUCUGCCUGGUAGUGGGGGAUAACGUCCGGAAACGGGCGCUAAUACCGCAUACGUCCUGAGGGAGAAAGUGGG